GCGUGCAGUGCUUUCGCGAAGUCUGCGGUCGUCUUCUUUUGGCUUUCUCUUUUCCAGACGUACAUGUGGAGUGCCCAUUUAAAUACUAGAUCUGAACAGCAAAAAUGCAAAGAUCUCUCUCCCACCCACAGUGAACCUCUGGUUGCUACUCCUGCAACACUAGCUGCCUCAGCUGCUCUGGAGGGAAGAAUGGAGGCCAGAAGACAAGAGGCUGAGAUGACCCUCUAGCUCCAUUCUGGUGACCCAUCCCCUUAAAUGGGAUUGAGGCAGAGAAGAAAGAAGAGAUUUGCUGAAGAACACAGCAGGAGUCAGUGGCAAAGAGGGGUAAGGCCCAGCCACAAGUCCUAGUUGCCUGCUGUCAUGGCUAGACACUCAUUGCCCUGUUGCUCAC
Long non-coding RNA from Alligator sinensis (Chinese alligator), 391 nucleotides. RefSeq lists it as uncharacterized. NCBI's taxonomy places the organism in Eukaryota, Metazoa, Chordata, Crocodylia, Alligatoridae. The transcript has 3 exons. The record is from RefSeq and is a predicted model, not a curated record.